GUUCUUGCUUUGGCAGAACAUAUACAAAAAUUGGAACGAUACAUAGAUGAUUAGCAUGGCCCUUGCGCAAGGAUGACACGCACAACCGUGAAGCGUUCCACAUUUUU
RNAcentral lists this small nuclear RNA (107 nucleotides) under Megaselia scalaris. Lineage: Eukaryota; Metazoa; Arthropoda; Insecta; Diptera; Phoridae. The record is from RNAcentral.